RNAcentral lists this non-coding RNA (72 nucleotides) under Paenibacillus sp. RNAcentral describes it as "c-di-GMP sequence". It matches the Rfam family "c-di-GMP-I riboswitch aptamer". From Rfam's summary of the family: GEMM was predicted in a large-scale screen for bacterial structured RNA regulatory elements. Genes associated with GEMM are involved in a diverse array of functions, including chemotaxis regulation, signal transduction, secretion and chitin. The record is from RNAcentral. Lineage: Bacteria; Bacillati; Bacillota; Bacilli; Caryophanales; Paenibacillaceae.
CCAAUAUAAAGGCAGCGACGCAAAGCCACGGAUCAUCGGCCCGGAAUGGGAAAUGACCGCCGGGCCGCCCAG